This 2465-nucleotide small RNA is filed under the name Pongo abelii (Sumatran orangutan). Its description in RNAcentral is "retained intron". The record is from RNAcentral. Lineage: Eukaryota; Metazoa; Chordata; Mammalia; Primates; Hominidae.
GGUUCGAUGUGGGGAGAGCCAGUUAGAGAUGUGUGUGAUUCUCCCAGUGUGCGUCUUUGAUUCAUGUGCUAAUUAUGUCGAUCCUUUGGGGAACACAGCCAGGAAGCUGGGUCCUCCUUGAUUAAUGCUGGCGGAGAGCCAUGCAGCGCGCAGCGGAGAGCAGUUCAGCAUCUCUAGUCCCAGCUGAGAAUAUGGUCCCAUUAUCUCCCAGCUGCCUAAGCAAUCCAUAAGGGCCUGUUCUGCGUGGAUGAUCAGUGUAGUGGAAGCAGGGACUUGCUGAGAGCUGAAAUCUCUGUUUGAUUUGCUGUAACAUGUAAAGCGAAACUGGGACAUUUUACUUUACAGCCUAUUAAAGGUUAUACAAAACUUAGAAGAAGCAGCGAUUCUAUUCACUUGUUAUUGGACUUGAAACUCCCUUUGACCUUGGAAACUGAAGAUGAGGUUGCCAUGGGAACUGCUGGUACUGCAAUCAUUCAUGUUGUGCCUUGCAGAUGAUUCCACACUGCAUGGCCCGAUUUUUAUUCAAGAACCAAGUCCUGUAAUGUUCCCUUUGGAUUCUGAGGAGAAAAAAGUGAAGCUCAAUUGUGAAGUUAAAGGAAAUCCAAAACCUCAUAUCAGGUGGAAGUUAAAUGGAACAGAUGUUGACACUGGUAUGGAUUUCCGCUACAGUGUUGUUGAAGGCAGCUUGUUGAUCAAUAACCCCAAUAAAACCCAAGAUGCUGGAACGUACCAGUGCACAGCAACAAACUCGUUUGGAACAAUUGUUAGCAGAGAAGCAAAGCUUCAGUUUGCUUAUCUUGACAACUUUAAAACAAGAACAAGAAGCACUGUGUCUGUUCGUCGAGGUCAAGGAAUGGUGCUACUGUGUGGCCCGCCACCCCAUUCUGGAGAGCUGAGUUAUGCCUGGAUCUUCAAUGAAUACCCUUCCUAUCAGGAUAAUCGCCGCUUUGUUUCUCAAGAGACUGGGAAUCUGUAUAUUGCCAAAGUAGAAAAAUCAGAUGUUGGGAAUUAUACCUGUGUGGUUACCAAUACUGUGACAAACCACAAGGUCCUGGGGCCACCUACACCACUAAUAUUGAGAAAUGAUGGAGUGAUGGGUGAAUAUGAGCCCAAAAUAGAAGUGCAGUUCCCAGAAACAGUUCCGACUGCAAAAGGAGCAACGGUGAAGCUGGAAUGCUUUGCUUUAGGAAAUCCAGUACCAACUAUUAUCUGGCGAAGAGCUGAUGGAAAGCCGAUAGCAAGGAAAGCCAGAAGACACAAGUCAAAUGGAAUUCUUGAGAUCCCUAAUUUUCAGCAGGAGGAUGCUGGUUUAUAUGAAUGUGUGGCUGAAAAUUCCAGAGGGAAAAAUGUAGCAAGGGGACAGCUAACUUUCUAUGCUCAACCUAAUUGGAUUCAAAAAAUAAAUGAUAUUCACGUGGCCAUGGAAGAAAAUGUCUUUUGGGAAUGUAAAGCAAAUGGAAGGCCUAAGCCUACAUACAGGUGGCUAAAAAAUGGCGAACCUCUGCUAACUCGGGAUAGAAUUCAAAUUGAGCAAGGAACACUCAACAUAACAAUAGUGAACCUCUCGGAUGCUGGCAUGUAUCAGUGUUUGGCAGAGAAUAAACAUGGAGUUAUCUUUUCCAACGCAGAGCUUAAUGUUAUAGCUGUAGGUCCAGAUUUUUCAAGAACACUCUUGAAAAGAGUAACUCUUGUCAAAGUGGGAGGUGAAGUUGUCAUUGAGUGUAAGCCAAAAGCGUCUCCAAAACCUGUUUACACCUGGAAGAAAGGAAGGGAUAUAUUAAAAGAAAAUGAAAGAAUUACCAUUUCUGAAGAUGGAAACCUCAGAAUCAUCAACGUUACUAAAUCAGACGCUGGGAGUUAUACCUGUAUAGCCAGUAACCAUUUUGGAACUGCUAGCAGUACUGGAAACUUGGUAGUGAAAGGUAAUGGCUAACCCAAAGAAUUCGAAUAUUAAUAUAUGUGUCCUCAUGUCUAAUAAUGCAAUCUAUAGAAGUGGCAUCAUUCAUAUUAAUAUGUACAGAUAUCACUGUAUUGCUAAAUUAAUUCAUCACGGCAAACAUGAUAUGAUUAGUAAUUCUUAGAAAACUGCCGAUAAUGAAUAUGAUUGAAAGGCUAUCUUAUUUCAGAAUCAUCCAAUACAAUUUUGAGAAUUAUAGCCAUAGUAUCUAUUAUAGUAUUGUAACUAAUGUUAUCUUCAAUCCUUUAAUUAAAUUUCUUUCAAGUCUCUAUAGAUUUGAAAUUCAUGUCUAGGAACACUGUUCCAACAAAUUAAAAACUCAAGACUCAUGUACUAUUUUUAGCAAACAUUGUUUAAACAAUGACAUUGGUAAUUUUUAAGAUAGCUGUCCCGUUUAUUCAGAGAUAUGAAUAUGGCUUAUUAUACUAAUAAAAGGCUUUUUGAUCACCUCUGUGCUUUGCGUUAGUCACCCAGCCAACCUUGUCGGUUUUAAGGAAAUAAAAUUCCC